This 467-nucleotide ribosomal RNA is filed under the name uncultured bacterium. RNAcentral describes it as "partial 16S ribosomal RNA". It matches the Rfam family "Bacterial small subunit ribosomal RNA", at positions 28 to 507 of the family's 1533-position model. The record is from RNAcentral.
GACGAACGCUGGCGGCGUGCUUAACACAUGCAAGUCGAACGGAAAGGCCUCUUUCGGGGGGUACUCGAGUGGCGAACGGGUGAGUAACACGUGAGUAACCUGCCCUUGACUUUGGGAUAACUUCAGGAAACUGGGGCUAAUACCGGAUAGGAGCUCCUGCUGCAUGGUGGGGGUUGGAAAGUUUCGGCGGUUGGGGAUGGACUCGCGGCUUAUCAGCUUGUUGGUGGGGUAGUGGCUUACCAAGGCUUUGACGGGUAGCCGGCCUGAGAGGGCGACCGGCCACAUUGGGACUGAGAUACGGCCCAGACUCCUACGGGAGGCAGCAGUGGGGAAUAUUGCACAAUGGGUGGAAGCCUGAUGCAGCAACGCCGUGUGCGGGAUGACGGCCUUCGGGUUGUAAACCGCUUUCGCUCAUGACGAAGCUUUGUGUGACGGUAGUGGGUAAAGAAGCACCGGCUAACUACGUG